UCUACUAUUUAUUCUUUAUUCUGUCUUCGCCUUCUCGUAAGACAGCUGCCCCAGCAGUAUGAUUAACUAAAAAUCAUAUAACGAAUAUAUUCGCGCAUCCAUAUUAAAGAUCCUAUACUACUUUGCUGUGAAUUGGUCCGUCUACAAUAUCAGUGAUAUAUGCUGACUGGCUACUUUGAUGCUGCAGUAGACGAAAAGAACAAUGCGAAUCACCACUUACAUUCUCAUUACUAAACAGAUUCUCAAAGUAUUAACUAAACCCAACUCGAGUUAUCAAAUUUAAAUAUCUUUAGCGAGGUGAGUGCUGACCAUACUAUCAACGCUAUUGUACCACGAAGAGAUGAAUCUUUGCCCAAGGUAGACCAAAAAAAUUCUCACGAACAUAGUCGCAUCAACAAUCCUAGUGGAAACUUCAAAAAUAAUCCUGCAGGGUACAUUUUGUGAUGGUGCAGAUGGGGUUUUCAAAGACGCAUUGCAAGUAGACCUUCACUUGAAUUGAGGGUUUGAUCGCUCAAUAUCUACCAUAGACUCAAUUCAGAGACUGGAAUUGAGUACACAUCUGAUGUAGCAAACUUUCCUCCCUAGCAACCACACACUCAGGCUGAGGGAUAAGUUUGGCAGGCAUCAAGAUAUUCAAAAAGUAAUUAAGGGACGACGUAUCUGUUCUUCCAAUGCCCAUGGAGCUUGCUCCGACUGCUGUUGAGCCUGCUGCGCGUCCCGUCGACGUCGCUUCCCAUCCUCUAAAAUCUGGGACAGCCUCUGAAUCUCGUCAUCGGCCAUUACUUAAAUG
This 790-nucleotide small RNA is filed under the name Histoplasma capsulatum. Its description in RNAcentral is "hypothetical RNA". Lineage: Eukaryota; Fungi; Ascomycota; Eurotiomycetes; Onygenales; Ajellomycetaceae. RNAcentral also lists the same sequence under 1 other name. The record is from RNAcentral.